CCUACGGGUGGCAGCAGUGGGGAAUAUUGGGCAAUGGGCGCAAGCCUGACCCAGCAACGCCGCGUGAAGGAAGAAGGCUUUCGGGUUGUAAACUUCUGUGAAGAGGGAAGAGCAGAAGACGGUACCUCGGGAAUAAGCCACGGCUAACUACGUGCCAGCAGCCGCGGUAAUACGUAGGUGGCAAGCGUUGUCCGGAUUGACUGGGUGUAAAGGGCGUGCAGCCGGGAAGACAAGUCAGAGGUGAAAUCCCGCGGCUCAACCGCGGAACUGCAUUUGAAACUGUUUUUCUUGAGUACCGGAGCGGUCAUCGGACUUCCUUGUGUAGCGGUGAACUGCGUAGCUAUAAGGAAGAACACCAGUUGCGAAGGCGGAUGACUGGACGGCAACUGACGGUGAGGCGCGAACGCGUGGGGAGCAAACAGGAUUAGAUACCCGUGUAGUC
Molecule: ribosomal RNA, 442 nt
Filed under: uncultured bacterium
Lineage: Bacteria
Description: partial 16S ribosomal RNA
Rfam family: Bacterial small subunit ribosomal RNA
Source: RNAcentral